AGAAAGUAUCUCAAAGCGGCCCUACAAAAUAGAGAUGAGAUAAGAAGCUCUAUGCAGCAAUGGAACUUCAUGGAGUGGAAGUGUUAUAGGUAGAUAUAAAAGUAAUCUGAGUAGUCAAUGUAAAAUUCAAGUAUUGAUUGCUAGCCUCUAUAUUCUACUAUUAAUAUGAAAGCUCAACCAGAACUUCUGCUUCAUCUCUUUCAGAUUUUCUUAUUGGUUCUUUCUUUACUUAACCAGCAACCAUAAAAGUGCAAUCAAGACAGAAUAAGGAACAUACAUGGAGAGAGCUAGAAAAUGCAAACAAAAAUUAAUAAUUAAAAUUAGAAAAGUUAUCUAAAAAUUUUUUUG
RNAcentral lists this unclassified non-coding RNA (348 nucleotides) under Hevea brasiliensis (rubber tree). Lineage: Eukaryota; Viridiplantae; Streptophyta; Magnoliopsida; Malpighiales; Euphorbiaceae. The record is from RNAcentral.